Molecule: ribosomal RNA, 547 nt
Filed under: uncultured bacterium
Lineage: Bacteria
Description: partial 16S ribosomal RNA
Rfam family: Bacterial small subunit ribosomal RNA
Source: RNAcentral
UGGGGAAUUUUGGACAAUGGGCGAAAGCCUGAUCCAGCAAUGCCGCGUGUGUGAAGAAGGCCUUCGGGUUGUAAACCGCUUUUGUCAGGGAAGAAAUCUUCUGAGUUAAUACCUCGGGGAGGAUGACGGUACCUGAAGAAUAAGCACCGGCUAACUACGUGCCAGCAGCCGCGGUAAUACGUAGGGUGCAAGCGUUAAUCGGAAUUACUGGGCGUAAAGCGUGCGCAGGCGGUUUUGUAAGACAGAGGUGAAAUCCCCGGGCUCAACCUGGGAACUGCCUUUGUGACUGCAAGGCUUGAGUGCGGCAGAGGGGGGAUGGAAUUCCGCGUGUAGCAGUGAAAUGCGUAGAUAUGCGGAGGAACACCGAUGGCGAAGGCAAUCCCCUGGGCCUGCACUGACGCUCAUGCACGAAAGCGUGGGGAGCAAACAGGAUUAGAUACCCCUGGUAGUCCACGCCCUAAACGAUGUCAACUGGUUGUUGGGAAGGUUCCCUUCUCAGUAACGUAGCUAACGCGUGAAGUUGACCGCCUGGGGAGUACGGCCGCAA